GCCCCUAUUCCCUUCCGGUCGGGUCAGCCUUGUGCUUCCGGGUAACGGGGACGCUGGCCGCUGAGGUGGGGGAUCUGAGGCGGGACCUGGGCCUUGAUAUGGAUAACAGACGUGAUGAGAAAUGUGGAACGCCAUGCGCUACAUCACAAGAAGAGAUGAAAGUCAGAGGGAAAGACAAGAGAAAGCGAAAACGCAGCAGAAGCAGAUCAUCAUCCAUUUCAUCAGCAUCAUCUGCUAGUACUACUACUGCAUCCUCCUCGUCCUCUUCAUCAAGAUCUUCCUCUUCUUCAAGCAGCAGAAGCAGUUCAAGUGGCAGAGAUUCUCCCAAGUCUAAAUCAAAGAAAAGGAAAAAAGAAAAACGCAACAAAAAGGUAAAUAUUUGCUGACAGAAAUAAAUAGCAAUCCAGGCAAAAAAAUUUAAAUGUU
RNAcentral lists this long non-coding RNA (426 nucleotides) under Chelonoidis abingdonii (Abingdon island giant tortoise). RNAcentral describes it as "lncRNA (ENSCABG00000022624.1)". The record is from RNAcentral. Lineage: Eukaryota; Metazoa; Chordata; Testudines; Testudinidae.